Molecule: non-coding RNA, 237 nt
Filed under: Clostridium sp.
Lineage: Bacteria; Bacillati; Bacillota; Clostridia; Eubacteriales; Clostridiaceae
Description: T-box sequence
Rfam family: T-box leader
About the family: Uncharged tRNA acts as the effector for transcription antitermination of genes in the T-box leader family. T-boxes are found upstream of many aminoacyl-tRNA synthetase genes and some amino acid biosynthetic genes usually in Gram-positive bacteria.
Source: RNAcentral
UGAAAUGCAAUGAUGGGAAGAGUAGUAAGUGGAAAUGCUAAAAGAGAGUCGGAUAAGGUGAAAGCCGAUAGCAUUUAGAUUUAUGAACAUGGCCCCAGAGCAAAAUAUCUGAAAUAUUAAGUAGGAUAUUUCGGGUGCAGCCGUUAAAAUGCAAAGUGAGUUUUCUCACUUAUUGAGUCCUUUUUUGAGAAGAAAAGGAAAAUUAGAGUGGUAACGCGUAAAAAUGACGCCUCUAUA